AUGCUGGUGAGUUUCUUUUAUGUGUGUUAAUUUCUGAUGAUUGAAUGAUGGUUAUUUCCUUUUCUGUAUAUUUCUAUGCAUGUGCACAACUGUACAUGUGCAUGCAUAUGUUUGUGUGAAAUUUUGUGGAUUUAUGCAAAAUAAGUGACUUGUUUACUGAAUUGCUUGAAGGUUGGCAAGGAUGUUAUGUCUUGUAACACUGAAAUGUUUCAGUUGGAGUUUUUUAAUGUCUCAUUAACCUUGGUUUUUUUUUGAGUUUGCUUAAUAGCAAUUCUUUUACUUAUGGGUAUUUACGAUGCGG
Molecule: unclassified non-coding RNA, 301 nt
Filed under: Hevea brasiliensis (rubber tree)
Lineage: Eukaryota; Viridiplantae; Streptophyta; Magnoliopsida; Malpighiales; Euphorbiaceae
Source: RNAcentral